GGGAACAUAGAGUAGUGAUUGGAAAGGUACUAGAGUUGGCCACUCUUGGCACAUUAGAUGUCACUUUGUCGGUUCGAUUCCGACUGUUCCUA
RNAcentral lists this transfer RNA (92 nucleotides) under Streptococcus porcinus. RNAcentral's name for it is "tRNA-Ala(ggc)". Lineage: Bacteria; Bacillati; Bacillota; Bacilli; Lactobacillales; Streptococcaceae. RNAcentral also lists the same sequence under 1 other name. The record is from RNAcentral.